RNAcentral lists this ribosomal RNA (477 nucleotides) under uncultured bacterium. Its description in RNAcentral is "bacterial SSU rRNA". It matches the Rfam family "Bacterial small subunit ribosomal RNA", at positions 28 to 507 of the family's 1533-position model. The record is from RNAcentral.
GAUGAACGCUGGCGGCGUGCCUCAAACAUGCAAGUCGAGCGGGGCUAUGUAAUAUCGCAAGGUAGAACAUAGCCUAGCGGCGAACGGGUGAGUAACACGUGGGUAACCUGCCUGGAAGACAGGGAUAACCGAUUCGAAAGGGUCGCUAAUACCUGAUAAUAUCCUUUCAUCGCAUGGUGAUAGGAAGAAAGGGGAAACCCGCUUUCAGAUGGGCCCGCGUCCCAUCAGCUAGUUGGUAAGGUAAAGGCUUACCAAGGCGACGACGGGUAGCCGGUCUGAGAGGAUGUACGGCCACACUGGGACUGAGAUACGGCCCAGACUCCUACGGGAGGCAGCAGUUGGGAAUCUUAGGCAAGUGGACGAAAGUCUGACCUAGCGACGCCGCGUGAGGGAAGAAGGCCUUCGGGUUGUAAACCUCUGUCAUGGGGGAAGAAGUAAGUGACGGUACCCCAAGAGGAAGCCCCUGCUAACUACGUG